This 142-nucleotide small RNA is filed under the name Microtus ochrogaster (prairie vole). RNAcentral's name for it is "Smith-Magenis syndrome chromosome region, candidate 2 conserved region 1 (ENSMOCG00000010458.1)". Lineage: Eukaryota; Metazoa; Chordata; Mammalia; Rodentia; Cricetidae. The record is from RNAcentral.
ACCUUCAUCCUCUUUUCCUGCUGGAGAUCUGAUACCUUGCAGGAAGCAAAGGGUCUUUCUUUGCUCAGCUCCCCAGUCACUGUCCCUGCCCUGAAAUGGACACUCUUUUUCUUUACUGCUCUGGGACUCUGACUUAGGAGAA